GACGAACGCUGGCGGCGUGCUUAACACAUGCAAGUCGAACGAUGAAGAAAAGAAUCGAAGCUUCGGCAGAAAUUCAUUUCGGAUUAGUGGCAGACGGGUGAGUAACGCGUGAGCAACCUACCUCUUACAAAGGGAUAGCCUCGGGAAACCGGGAUUAAUACCAUAUAACAUUGCGACGAAGCAUUUCGAUGCAAUCAAAGCUACGGCGGUAAGAGAUGGGCUCGCGUCCCAUUAACCGGAUGGUGAGGUAACGGCUCACCAUAGUGACGAUGGGUAACCGGGAUGAGAGGGUGAACGGUCACACUGGAGCUGAGACACGGUCCAGACUCCUACGGGAGGGAGCAGAGGGGAAUAUUGCACAAUGGAGGGAACUCUGAUGCAGCGACGCCGCGUGAGUGAUGAAGGAAUUCGUUUCGUAAAACUCUGUUCUAUGGGAAGAAAAGGACGGUACCAGAGGAGAAAGCACCGGCUAAAUACGUG
RNAcentral lists this ribosomal RNA (480 nucleotides) under uncultured bacterium. Its description in RNAcentral is "partial 16S ribosomal RNA". It matches the Rfam family "Bacterial small subunit ribosomal RNA", at positions 28 to 507 of the family's 1533-position model. The record is from RNAcentral.